This 118-nucleotide non-coding RNA is filed under the name Pedobacter sp. ok626. The record is from RNAcentral. Lineage: Bacteria; Pseudomonadati; Bacteroidota; Sphingobacteriia; Sphingobacteriales; Sphingobacteriaceae.
GAGGGUGGGCCCCUCGAAACCGCCUUGCAGGGGGAGGUUUCAAACCAGCGUAUGCGGCUUGGGUUAACAGCCCUGGUCGUGAGCGAUACGUGAAAAGUCGGUCAGAAGGCCGGCAGGU